AUCCAGCCGAAUAGUCUCAAAUAGGACGAAACGCGCAUCCUGGAU
Schistosoma rodhaini is the source of this 45-nucleotide non-coding RNA. NCBI's taxonomy places the organism in Eukaryota, Metazoa, Platyhelminthes, Trematoda, Strigeidida, Schistosomatidae. The record is from Rfam.